RNAcentral lists this ribosomal RNA (497 nucleotides) under uncultured bacterium. RNAcentral describes it as "partial 16S ribosomal RNA". It matches the Rfam family "Bacterial small subunit ribosomal RNA", at positions 28 to 507 of the family's 1533-position model. The record is from RNAcentral.
GACGAACGCUGGCGGCGUGCCUAAUACAUGCAAGUAGAACGCUGAAGAGAGGAGCUUGCUCUUCUUGGAUGAGUUGCGAACGGGUGAGUAACGCGUAGGUAACCUGCCUUGUAGCGGGGGAUAACUAUUGGAAACGAUAGCUAAUACCGCAUAACAAUGGAUGACACAUGUCAUUUAUUUGAAAGGGGCAAUUGCUCCACUACAAGAUGGACCUGCGUUGUAUUAGCUAGUAGGUGAGGUAAUGGCUCACCUAGGCGACGAUACAUAGCCGACCUGAGAGGGUGAUCGGCCACACUGGGACUGAGACACGGCCCAGACUCCUACGGGAGGCAGCAGUAGGGAAUCUUCGGCAAUGGGGGCAACCCUGACCGAGCAACGCCGCGUGAGUGAAGAAGGUUUUCGGAUCGUAAAGUUCUGCUGUAAGUCAAGAACGGGUGUGAGAGUGGAAAGUUCACACUGUGACGGUAGCUUACCAGAAAGGGACGGCUAACUACGUG